Molecule: ribosomal RNA, 464 nt
Filed under: Vreelandella stevensii
Lineage: Bacteria; Pseudomonadati; Pseudomonadota; Gammaproteobacteria; Oceanospirillales; Halomonadaceae
Description: partial 16S ribosomal RNA
Rfam family: Bacterial small subunit ribosomal RNA
Source: RNAcentral
CCUAGGGCGGCAGCAGUGGGGAAUAUUGGACAAUGGGCGAAAGCCUGAUCCAGCCAUGCCGCGUGUGUGAAGAAGGCCUUCGGGUUGAAAAGCACUUUCAGUGGGGAAGAAAGCCUUGGGGCUAAUACCCUCGAGGAAGGACAUCACCCACAGAAGAAGCACCGGCUAACUCCGUGCCAGCAGCCGCGGUAAUACGGAGGGUGCGAGCGUUAAUCGGAAUUACUGGGCGUAAAGCGCGCGUAGGCGGUCUGAUAAGCCGGUUGUGAAAGCCCCGGGCUCAACCUGGGAACGGCAUCCGGAACUGUCAGGCUAGAGUGCAGGAGAGGAAGGUAGAAUUCCCGGUGUAGCGGUGAAAUGCGUAGAGAUCGGGAGGAAUACCAGUGGCGAAGGCGGCCUUCUGGACUGACACUGACGCUGAGGUGCGAAAGCGUGGGUAGCAAACAGGAUUAGAUACCCUGGUAGUC